This 425-nucleotide ribosomal RNA is filed under the name Leptodactylus pentadactylus group sp. ABGD cluster 2. RNAcentral's name for it is "partial large subunit ribosomal RNA". It matches the Rfam family "Bacterial large subunit ribosomal RNA", at positions 1834 to 2457 of the family's 2925-position model. Lineage: Eukaryota; Metazoa; Chordata; Amphibia; Anura; Leptodactylidae. The record is from RNAcentral.
CUUGCAUACCUAUAAGAGGUCCAGCCUGCCCAGUGACUCUGUUCAACGGCCGCGGUAUCCUAACCGUGCGAAGGUAGCGUAAUCACUUGUUCUUUAAAUGAGGACUAGUAUGAAUGGCACCACGAAGGUUAUACUGUCUCCUCUCUCUAAUCAGUAAAACUAAUCUCCCCGUGAAGAAGCGGGGGUAAUUAUAUAAGACGAGAAGACCCUAUGGAGCUUUAAACUAAGAAUCAAUUGCUUUAUUCCCCUUCAAAUUUCAGAAAACUAACUUUUACCAAAGCACUCUGAUAUCUAGUUUUAGGUUGGGGUGACCACGGAGUAAAAACCAACCUCCGCAAUGAACGGGAAUAUUUCCUUAACCAAGGGCCACAGCCCUAAGAAUCAACACAUUGACAUCAAUUGACCCAAAAAUUUGAUCAAUGAAC